Macaca mulatta (Rhesus monkey) is the source of this 285-nucleotide non-coding RNA. The record is from RefSeq and is a predicted model, not a curated record. NCBI's taxonomy places the organism in Eukaryota, Metazoa, Chordata, Mammalia, Primates, Cercopithecidae.
CUGCAAGAGUAUCUGUGUUAACAGGGGAAUUGGAGGAAUUACUGCUCUGACCAUGAGUGAAAUAUUCAGUAUUAAGCUGCUGGUAAGGCAGAUUGUGAGAGUGUUUCCUGACUUCAGUUCUCACCAACAGCUGAGACAAUAUGUGAGAAAUGGGAAAUGGGAGUGACAGGAGAGCCUGAGACACACAGAGACCAAAAGAAAUGUGCCAGAGAGUUGGCCAGCAUGGGAGAACAACCAGUACUUCCUCCCCGUUGCAUUAAAAUAAAGUGAGAUAAGAUCAGUAAA